GUCCACGCUGUAAACGAUGGAUACUAGACGUUGUGGGUAUUGACCCCUGCAGUGUCGACGCUAACGCAUUAAGUAUCCCGCCUGGGAAGUACGGCCGCAAGGCUAAAACUCAAAGGAAUUGACGGGGGCCCGCACAAGCGGUGGAAUAUGUGGUUUAAUUCGACGCAACGCGAAGAACCUUACCCAGACUUGACAUUGAUGGAAUUCUUGGAGACAGAGAAGUACCCUUCGGGGACCUGAAAACAGGUGCUGCAUGGCUGUCGU
Molecule: ribosomal RNA, 264 nt
Filed under: uncultured bacterium
Lineage: Bacteria
Description: partial 16S ribosomal RNA
Rfam family: Bacterial small subunit ribosomal RNA
Source: RNAcentral